RNAcentral lists this ribosomal RNA (464 nucleotides) under Vreelandella stevensii. RNAcentral's name for it is "partial 16S ribosomal RNA". It matches the Rfam family "Bacterial small subunit ribosomal RNA", at positions 339 to 795 of the family's 1533-position model. Lineage: Bacteria; Pseudomonadati; Pseudomonadota; Gammaproteobacteria; Oceanospirillales; Halomonadaceae. The record is from RNAcentral.
CCACGGGGGGCAGCAGUGGGGAAUAUUGGACAAUGGGGGCAACCCUGAUCCAGCCAUGCCGCGUGUGUGAAGAAGGCCCUCGGGUUGUAAAGCACUUUCAGUGAGGAAGAACGCCUGGUGGUUAAUACCCAUCAGGAAAGACAUCACUCACAGAAGAAGCACCGGCUAACUCCGUGCCAGCAGCCGCGGUAAUACGGAGGGUGCGAGCGUUAAUCGGAAUUACUGGGCGUAAAGCGCGCGUAGGUGGCUUGAUAAGCCGGUUGUGAAAGCCCCGGGCUCAACCUGGGAACGGCAUCCGGAACUGUCAAGCUAGAGUGCAGGAGAGGAAGGUAGAAUUCCCGGUGUAGCGGUGAAAUGCGUAGAGAUCGGGAGGAAUACCAGUGGCGAAGGCGGCCUUCUGGACUGACACUGACACUGAGGUGCGAAAGCGUGGGUAGCAAACAGGAUUAGAUACCCUUGUAGUC